CCUACGGGAGGCAGCAGUGAGGAAUAUUGGUCAAUGGACGAGAGUCUGAACCCGCCAAGUAGCGUGAAGGCUGACUGCCCUAUGGGUUGUAAACUUCUUUUAUAUGGGAAUAAAAUGUUCCACGUGUGGGAUUUUGUAUGUACCAUAUGAAUAAGGAUCGGCUAACUCCGUGCCAGCAGCCUCGGUAAUACGGAGGAUCCGAGCGUUAUCCGGAUUUAUUGGGUUUAAAGGGAGCGUAGGUGGAUUGUUAAGUCAGUUGUGAAAGUUUGCGGCGCAACCGUAAAAUUGCAGUUGAAACUGGCAGUCUUGAGUACAGUAGAGGUGGGCGGAAUUCGUGGUGUAGCGGUGAAAUGCUUAGAUAUCACGAAGAACUCCGAUUGCGAAGGCAGUUCACUGGACUGCAACUGACACUGAGGCUCGAAAGUGUGGGUAUCAAACAGGAUUAGAUACCCUAGUAGUC
This 460-nucleotide ribosomal RNA is filed under the name uncultured bacterium. RNAcentral describes it as "partial 16S ribosomal RNA". It matches the Rfam family "Bacterial small subunit ribosomal RNA", at positions 338 to 795 of the family's 1533-position model. The record is from RNAcentral.